UUUGUCUGGCUCAGAUGAACGUUGGCAGCGUGGAUAGGCAUGCAAGUCGAGCGACAAGCCUCCUCGGGGAGGUGGAGGAGCGGCUAACGGGGUAGUAAUGCAUCGGAACGUACCUUUUCGUCUGGGUAGCCACGGGAAACUGUGAGUAAUACCGGAUAAUAUCUUCGGAUCAAAGGUUUACUGCGAAAGGAGCGGCCGAUGUGAGACUAGAUAGUUGGUGGGGUAAUGGCCUACCAAGUCUAAGAUCUCUAGGGGGUGUGAGAGCAUGGCCCCCACCACUGGAACUGAGACACUGUCCAGACACCUACGGGUGGCUGCAGUCGAGAAUCUUCGGCAAUGGGCGAAAGCCUGACCGAGCGACGCUGCGUGCGGGAUGAAGGCCCUUGGGCUGUAAACCGCUGUCAGAGGGGAUCAAAGGAAACUUGAGAGAGCCUCAGAGGAAGCGCGGGCUAAGUUCGUGCCAGCAGCCGCGGUAAUACGAACUGCGCAAACGUUAUUCGGAAUCACUGGGCUUACAGGGUGCGUAGGCGGUCCACCAGGUCAGAUGUGAAAUCCCACAGCUCAACUGUGGAACUGCAUUUGAAACCGGCGGGCUUGAGUAGACUAGAGG
Molecule: ribosomal RNA, 610 nt
Filed under: uncultured bacterium
Lineage: Bacteria
Description: bacterial SSU rRNA
Rfam family: Bacterial small subunit ribosomal RNA
Source: RNAcentral